GAACAGAAUAGGCAUGGCCUUCACCCUACCCCAAACCUGAAAGAUAACACAAAGGCGGGAGGGCUGGCGCCACCCCUCCCCUGACCCUCUCAAUUCCUGCUGGUGCCAGUUCUAGAAAAUGAGGCCCUUUCCGAGAAGCCACCUCUGAUUCAAGUGAAGCUUGGUUACUUCAUAAUGGAUUAUGCUACAGCGCGCUCCGGUUACUAAUAAGUCACUAUGAAUUAAGGUUCUGACAAGAGCCUAGAUUUUGAGGGAGAAAACGGAACGUGGCCAGAAAUGUCUCAAGAGCUGGCAAAAGGGCUGUCUUUUGCUGUUACUGAAAUCAUCCAGGAAGGCAAGGAGAACCCGAAAGUCCUACUGGGAGGAGAGAACCCGUGAUCCAGUCGCCCCACGAAAAGGAUGAUGUGUGUUUCAACUCAGUAUUACUGAAAAUGGGAAAUACCAGGGAAACUAUUGCUGAUAUGAAUUCAUGCUGGUCUGAUAAACUAGAACAGUGGUAUCGGCCAGGAAACUCUGACAUGGUUUUUCCCUUUCCUCAGCUUUUUUUUUUUUUUUUUUUAAAAGGAAGAAUGUUUGCUUUUCCAUUUAGGAGAUUUACGUGCCUUAGAACUUAUUAGAGCGUCGAGAGGAUACAGGGAAAAGAGGACAGCACCUGCUUUCCAUCUGGUAACAUCGCCCUGCCGUGCCUCCCCGGUGUGUUUGUGGCCACCACCUUCAUCUCUGCCUCCUUCACAAGCAGCAAAACCUGCCCUCAGGAAGAGGACCUGAUUAUAUCCGAUGAAGCUUAAAAUGAUACUCAUCUCUGGAUUUCACGAGGUGGUGGCGAGGGGCAGAAGAAAAGGGAGAGAGAGAAUCCCAAGCAGGUUCCACAAGCAGCCGGAGGCCAGUGUGGGUGGGGCUUCAUCUCUCAGCCCUGAGAACAUGACUGAGCCAAAACCGAGAGUCAGACACUCAACUGGCUGAGCCACCCAGGCGCCCGACUUCUCACUUUGAAACAUGUCUGUCAAUUGUUUAUCUUAUACAACCUAAACAUUUUCCCAUUCUCUCCUUCUUCUCAACAGAUUUAUACUGAAGUUUUUAGAGUUUUUCCUCUGCUUUAUUGAGAUAUAAUUGACAUAAGACAUUCUGUAAGUUUAAGGUGUACGAUGUGUUGAUCUGAUACAUUGUAAAAUGGUUACCACCACAGCACUAGUUAACACCUCCCUUACGUCACAGAAUUACAUUUCUUUAUUGUGGUAAGAGCAUUUAUGUUCUACUCUCUCAGCAACUGUCAAGUAUAUGAUACAGUCUUAUUAACCACCAUCACCAUGCGGGACAUUAGAUGCCUAGAACUUAUUCAUGCUAACUUGAAGUCUGUACCCUCUAACCAGCAUCAGGCCAUUUCCCACAGCUGCAACCCCAAGCCCUAUUAGUUACCACUCUACUGUUGCUAAGUUUCUACCAUUUUCGCUUUUUUACAUUCUGCAUAUUACAGUAUUUAUCUUUCUCUGACUUAUUUCGCUUAGCACAAUGCUCUCAAGGUCCAUCCACAUUUUCACAAAUGUCAAGAUUUUCUUCUUUCUCAUGGAUGAUUAAAAUGCCAUUGUGUGUGUGUGUGUGUGUGUGUGUACCACAUCUUCUUUAUUUAGUCAUCUGUUGAUACUUGAUCAACAUGUGGGUUGUUUCCAUAACUUGGCAUUGUGAAUAAUGUUACAAUAAACAUGGGAGUGCAAAUAUCUCUUUGAGAUCCUAUUUUCAUUUCCUUUGGAUAUAUACCUAGAAGUGGGAUUGCUGGAUCAUAAGGUAGUUCUAUUUUUAACUUUUUGAGGAAGCUCCAUACUGUUUUCCAUAGUGACUGCACCAGUUUGCAUUCCCACCUACAGUGCACAGGGGUUCUCUCUUCUCCACACCCCUGCCAACACUUGUUAUCUCUUAUCUUUUGAUGACAUCCAUUCUAACAGGUGUGAGAUGAUAUCUCCUUAUGGUUUUGAUUUGCAUUUCCCUGAUGAUGAGUGAUGCUGAACACCUUUUCAUGUACCUCUUGGUUAUUUGUAUGUCUUCUUUGGAAAGAUAAUGUAUGUUGUUCCUCUGCCCAUUUUUUAACUGGAUUUUUUUUAAGAGGUGAACUUUAUUUAUUUAUGUGUUAAAUCUGUACAUUUCUU
Long non-coding RNA from Mustela lutreola (European mink), 2141 nucleotides. RefSeq lists it as uncharacterized. The transcript has 3 exons. The record is from RefSeq and is a predicted model, not a curated record. Lineage: Eukaryota; Metazoa; Chordata; Mammalia; Carnivora; Mustelidae.